Molecule: ribosomal RNA, 406 nt
Filed under: uncultured bacterium
Lineage: Bacteria
Description: partial 16S ribosomal RNA
Rfam family: Bacterial small subunit ribosomal RNA
Source: RNAcentral
AUUGAACGCUGGCGGCAGGCCUAACACAUGCAAGUCGAACGAGUGGCGGACGGGUGAGUAAUGUCUGGGAAACUGCCUGCUGGCGGGGAAUCCCUACUGAAUACGGUAGCUAAUACCGCAUACCAUCAGAUGUUCCCAGCUGGGAUUAGCUAGUUGGUGGGGUAACGGCUCACCAAGGCGACGAUCCCUAGCUGGUCUGAGAGGAUGACCUGCAACACUGGAAGUGAGACACGGUCCAGACUCCUACGGGAGGCAGCAGUGGGGAAUAGUGCACAAUGGGCGCAAGCCUGAUGCAGCCAUGCAGCGUGUAUGAAGAAGGCCUUCGGGUUGUAAAGUACUUUCAGCGGGGAGGCGUUACCCGCAGCAGAAGCACCGGCUAACUCCGUGCCAGCAGCCGCGGUAAUAC